Pygocentrus nattereri (red-bellied piranha) is the source of this 6676-nucleotide long non-coding RNA. The record is from Ensembl. NCBI's taxonomy places the organism in Eukaryota, Metazoa, Chordata, Actinopteri, Characiformes, Serrasalmidae.
AGCAGGUGACAGGCGCUGUGACAGCACUGAGGAACAAAUAACCAGAGCAAGCUAACCGAGAACAACAUGAAGGAAAUAAAGCUAUACAUAACCAUUGGCCUGUUACUCCUUCAAAGCAGUGUUAGAGCUCAGACGACAAAUAUUACUACAAUGACGCAAGGACCUUCAGUGUCAACUGACAGCAUGACAUCACCUGUACCAUCUGCUAGCUCAGUUUCAGUAACUCCUGGAAUCUCUCUUCCCACAACAAAUCAAUCAACUGUUCCUGAAAGUUAUUCCCUCCUAUCAACUACAUCACAAUCAACAGGAACAAGUGCUUCUUAUCCAACAGCAUCAGGUUACACAAGUUCCACUCCAUCUACUGUUUCCACAAGCCCAUCAGUAGCAAUGGGUAGUUCAGUGACAACUGCUAACCCAGCUACCUCAGCCACAACAUUAGCAGUCACAUCAGAAGGGUCGACAAGUUCUUCUCCAUCAACUCAAAGCUCAGUGGUAACAGGCAGUGGGUCUUCAAGCUCUCCAGCAGCACAGAGUCCAAUAGUAACAACUAGUUCCGCCAGAAAUUAUGUGUCAACAACUACAAGUGCAGCUGGAAGUUCCUCUGCAACGAGUUCUCUCAAAACGACUGUUGACUUUAUGACUUCAACAGUACCUGGGAGUUCUCCUGCAACAACACUUCUAACAUCACCUGGAUACACCAUUUCUGCUUCAGGAACAAAAGAGACCUCUACUGCAACAACUGUCAGCUCUAUGAAAACUACUUUAUAUCCUGUGACAUCACCCACAGAUUCAACAGCAAUUUCAGUAGGUUCCACAAGUUCUUCUCCAGCAGCACUAAGUGUAAGCAGUUCUGGGACUCCCACCACAAAUUAUUUGCCGAUAACUGUACAAGCAACUGGAAGUUCUUUUCCAAUAACUGCGACUUCUAUCAAAACAACAUUUGACUCCAUGCCUUCGACCACAAGUUCUGCAACAACAACACUUGGUUUCACAAGCUCUCCUUCAGCAACACAGAGUCAAACAGUAACAAGCAAUUCAGGAACUUCUACCACAGCUCAUCUAACAACACUUGGAUACACCACUGCUGCAACAGGAACAACAGAGAGUUCUUCUGCAACAACUGCAAGCAAUAUGAAAACUACUUCACUCACAGAUUCGACAGCAAUUUCAGUUGGUUCCACAAGCUCCUCUCCAGCAGCACUAGGUGUAAGCAGUUCUGGGACUUCUGCCACAAAUUAUUUGUCGACAACUGCGCAAGCAACUGGAAGUUCUUCUGCACCUCCAACUCCAGUCAAAACAACAUUUGACUCCAUGCCUUCAACCACAGGUUCUGCAACGACAACACUUGGUUUCACAAGCUCUCUUUCCACAACACAGAAUCAAACAGUAACAAGCAAUUCAGGGACUUCUACAACAGCUAAUGUAACAACACCUGGUCACUCCACUUCUGCAUUAGGAACAACACAGAGUUCUAUUGCAACAAUCACAGGGUCUGCAACAACAACACUUGGUUUCACAAGCUCUCUUUCCGCAACACAGAAUCAAACAGUAACAAGCAAUUCAGGGACUUCUACCACAGCUAAUGUAACAACAUCUGGUUACUCCACUUCUGCAUCGGGAACAACAGAGAUUUCUACUGCAACAACUGCAAGCUCUAUGAAAACUACUUCACCCAUAGAUUCAACGACAAUUUCAGUUGGUUCCACAAGUUCCUCUCCAGCAGCACCAAGUGUAGGCGGUUCUGGGAUUUCCGCCACUAAUUAUUUGUCGACAACUGCGCAAACAACUGGAAGUUCUUCUGCAUUUCCAACUUCAGUCAAAACAACAUUUGACUCCAUGCCUUCAACCACAGGGUCUGCAACGACAACACUUGGUUUCACAAGCUCUCUUUCCACAACACAGAAUCAAACAGUAACAAGCAAUUCAGGGACUUCUACAACAGCUAAUGUAACAACACCUGGUUACUCCACUUCUGCAUUAGGAACAACACAGAGUUCUACUGCCACAACCACAGGUUCUGCAAUGACAGCACUUGGUAUCACAAGCUCUCCUUCAGCAACACAGAAUCAAACAGUAGCAAGCAAUUCAGGGACUUCAAUCACAGCUAAUGUAACAACACCUGGUUACUCCACUUCUGCAUUAGGAACAACACAGAGUUCUACUGCAACAACCACAGGUUCUGCAACAGCAACACUUGGUUUCACAAGCUCUCUUUCCGCAACACAGAAUCAAACAGUAACAAGCAAUUCAGGGACUUCUACAACAGCUAAUGUAACAACACCUGGUUACUCCACUUCUGCAUCGGGAACAACAGAGAGUUCUACUGCAACAAGUGCAAGCUCUAUGAAAACUACUUCACACAUAGAUUCAACAACAAUUUCAGUUGGUUCCACAAGUUCCUCUCCAGCAGCACCAGGUGUAGGCGGUUCUGGGAUUUCUGCCACUAAUUAUUUGUCGACAACUGCGCAAACAACUGGAAGUACUUCUUCAUUUCCAACUUCAGUCAAAACAACAUUUGACUCCAUGCCUUCAACCACAGGUUCUGCAACGACAACACUUGGUUUCACAAGCUCUCUUUCCACAACACAGAAUCAAACAGUAACAAGCAAUUCAGGGACUUCUACAACAGCUAAUGUAACAACACCUGGUUACUCCACUUCUGCAUUAGGAACAACACAGAGUUCUACUGCCACAACCACAGGUUCUGCAACAACAACACUUGGUUUCACAAGCUCUCUUUCCGCAACACAGAAUCAAACAGUAACAAGCAAUUCAGGGACUUCUACCACAGCUAAUGUAACAACACCUGGUUACUCCACUUCUGCAUCGGGAACAACAGAGAGUUCUACUGCAACAAGUGCAAGCUCUAUGAAAACUACUUCACACAUAGAUUCAACAACAAUUUCAGUUGGUUCCACAAGUUCCUCUCCAGCAGCACCAGGUGUAGGCGGUUCUGGGAUUUCUGCCACUAAUUAUUUGUCGACAACUGCGCAAACAACUGGAAGUUCUUCUGCAUCUCCAACUUCAGUUAAAACAACAUUUGACUCCAUGCCUUCGACCACAGGUUCUGCAAUGACAGCACUUGGUUUCACAAGCUCUCCUUCAGCAAUACAGAAUCAAACCGUAACAAGCAAUUCAGGGACUUCUACCACAGCUAAUGUAACAACACCUGGUUACUCCACUUCUGCAUUAGGAACAACACAGAGUUCUACUGCCACAACCACAGGUUCUGCAACAACAACACUUGGUUUCACAAGCUCUCUUUCCGCAACACAGAAUCAAACAGUAACAAGCAAUUCAGGGACUUCUACCACAGCUAAUGUAACAACACCUGGUUACUCCACUUCUGCAUUAGGAACAACACAGAGUUCUACUGCCACAACCACAGGUUCUGCAAUGACAGCAUUUGGUUUCACAAGCUCUCCUUCAGCAACACAGAAUCAAACAGUAACAAGCAAUUCAGGGACUUCUACCACAGCUAAUGUAACAACACCUGGUUACUCCACUUCUGCAUCGGGAACAACACAGAGUUCUACUGCAACAACCACAGGUUCUGCAACAGCAACACUUGGUUUCACAAGCUCUCUUUCCGCAACACAGAAUCAAACAGUAACAAGCAAUUCAGGGACUUCUACAACAGCUAAUGUAACAACACCUGGUUACUCCACUUCUGCAUUAGGAACAACACAGAGUUCUACUGCCACAACCACAGGUUCUGCAAUGACAGCACUUGGUUUCACAAGCUCUCCUUCAGCAACACAGAAUCAAACAGUAACAAGCAAUUCAGGGACUUCUACCACAGCUAAUGUAACAACACCUGGUUACUCCACUUCUGCAUUAGGAACAACACAGAGUUCUACUGCAACAACCACAGGUUCUGCGACAGCAACACUUGGUUUCACAAGCUCUCUUUCCGCAACACAGAAUCAAACAGUAACAAGCAAUUUAGGGACUUCUACAACAGCUAAUGUAACAACACCUGGUUACUCCACUUCUGCAUCGGGAACAACAGAGAGAUCUACUGCAACAAGUGCAAGCUCUAUGAAAACUACUUCACCCACAGAUUCAACAACAAGUUCAGUUGGUUCCACAAGUUCCUCUCCAGCAGCACCAGGUGUAGGCGGUUCUGGGAUUUCCGCCACUAAUUAUUUGUCGACAACUGCGCAAACAACUGGAAGUUCUUCUGCAUUUCCAACUUCAGUCAAAACAACAUUUGGCUCCAUGCCUUCAACCACAGGUUCUGCAACAACAACACUUGGUUUCACAAGCUCUCCUUCAGCAACACAGAAUCAAACAGUAACAAGCAAUUCAGGGGCUGUAGUGGGAAAUGGAGGCAUUUCUGGAAGUUUAUCUUCAACUACAAAUUCCAUCACCAAUACCAAAAACGUUAUUACAGUAACAACUCAAUCUACUCCAUCAUCAUCACCUGGGUCAGGAUCUACACAGUCUACUUCAAUUACUGCAGUUCCUUCAAUUACUGCAAAUGGAGUUUCAUCACAUUCCAAUGAAACAUCAGCAACAGCGGCUAGUCUCACAGUAACAAUCUCUUCUACUUCUCUUACACAAAUUACAACUCCCACCCCAAUUACAGUAACAGAUUCCACAGCCCCACCUUCAAAGGGUGAGGGAUCCAUAGAGCUUGGAUUCAGAAUGAUACGGCAGUUUGAACCAGAUUAUGCAGAUGAGACAACAGUGAAAUAUAAGGAACUUGCAGCAAAUGUUACCACAGAGGUGAAUCGAGGUUAUAGGAUUAUUUUCCCUGUCACGUAUAGGAGGUGUCGGGUAGAGAAAUUUUCCCCAGGGUCAGUGAUUGUCAACAUGACGCUGAUUUUCAGCAGUGAGUCUGUUGUUCCGAACGUAUCGCAAGCUGAAAAUGCUCUUGCAGUAUCUGUAGAAAAAGGAAACACAUUUCUGAAUGUGGAUCUUCCUUCUAUCACUGCCACUCUAUCGACCACAACAAACACCACUACUGCUGCCAGUACAUCCAGUACAUCUGCAACAGCUGCAACCAAUAUGACAUCUGCAACAGCUGCAUCCAAUACGACAUCAGCCAGUACCGCACCAAACACUACACACUCAGGAGCUGCUAGCUUCACCGGAACAAUGCUGAUCUGGGUCACCUUGAUUUACAACACCUAUGCAGAAUUUUGUAAUUGACUAUAGUUACUGUCCAAAGAACUAUGACUAGAACAAAUCUCUGUGUUCUGGAGAUACAUUGUGAUACAAUAGUAAUUGCAGAGUAAUUGUAGAUGAACAGUUAACCCUUAUAGCCCCAAGCUGUCUGCAGGUCAUUUUCACUGGUAUGCACUACAACACACUCAAUAAUUAUUUAAAUAAAUAAAUAAAAAAAAAAACUUUAAAAUAUAUUUCUGCGUUUAAAAUAUAUGAAUGCGUAUCUUACGAUAUUCUGCUUCGCCACGGCCAGUGGCUACUGGAACCUUAAUGAGAGUUCAUUAGUUUAGUGCAAGUGCAAGUGCGUGCUGAGCAACCCGAAAGCCAAUGAAAAUGUAUGUGAUUUGAAUGAGCUCCUGUUCCUGGAGAUGAACCUUCCACUAACCGUAACUGACCCUGCCAGAUCAAUCUAAUCAUUGACUUAAGACGUCCUUGAUUCGCUGAAUGGGGUGCAUUAGAAUUGGGUUGAAGUUGAAAGCUGCAGGAAGGUCAAUCUCCAGGAGGAGGGCAGGUGACCAGUGUCUUCAACCAUAAGUCAAAAUACAUCAUUCAACACUUGUUUUUUUCCACCUCACGAAUCUAACUUGAUCAAAUCUUGCUAUGACAUUGAUCGACUUUAGGCAAUCAUUUUUUAUUUCACACAUGGUGGGAUCACUAGCAUCCCCAUGGGGUUCUAAGGGUUAAUCUAUGUACAAUCGAUCUAUAAGGGAAAUGAUGGAUUAUCUGCUAAGGUGACAUUGUAUGUAAUGCACACACUGGACAUAUAGAGUCAGAUUUACUAACGUAUUUUUGCAAUUUUGGCACUAUAUGUGCCUGUAAUUGUUUGCACUCAGAGAGAAAAGAAUAGAGAGAGUUAUUUAAACACAUUUAUUUAUUUUUAAAAAAUGUACGUGUGUACGUAUGCCGUUUAACACUUUUCUUAUUUAGAUGAAACUGCCAUAGGAGUAAACUGCUUAUUCCUAACACUUUGGGUAUAUUUUACAGCAGCCAUCUUCAGAGUAUGUUUUUUUUUUUUUGCAAAUCAUUGUUAAAAAACAUUUAUUAAUGGCUGUUCAAGCCUUAUAUUACUAAAGCUACCUGUUGUUUCAUUACUUCAUGUUCACAGUGCAUGCUGAGGCAGAAAGAUCACAGCCUGUGAUGCCCUGCACGCAGCCAAGAACUCACUCUGACCAUAAGCUUUAAACAAUACAAUUCCUAAACAAGCAGGAUGCACUCAGGGAAACAAAUCAAUUUUUCACUAUCCAUGGUUUCUGAAUGCACUGAACAUGAAAAGCUUCAUUUUUUCAAACGAAUGACUCUUUUUCGACAUUACUUUGACUACAAAACACUAAUGUCUUAUUUUAUUUAUGCUGUUCUAUUUUAUUUCAUUUGAACUAAGGCUGAAACAGUUAUGUGUCAUGAUCCAUAACUUUGACAAUAAAAAAAGAACUCUGCAAAUAUUUCUGUUUGUCAGUUUUUCAUUUACAUUUUUAAAGUGACGUCUGACCUGAGCUGAGUUAAUCAC